UCAUAUCCAAUCUUUUUUUUAUAAAUCAUAUUGAAAUCCAUUUAAAUCCAUUUAAAAAAAAAAAUCCAAACACAGGAACAGUAUCUACUAUUGCAAAAAAAAACUCAUCGGAAAAUGGAAAUGGUAAUAAAGAAGAUGAACCAUCAACCAACAACCAUGGCUGGUGGUUUGAAAAGAUUAUUUUCUCUCGCUAGAACAUAGUCGGAGGAGGGGCAAAAAAUGGCCUCUUGUUAUACGAAGAAAAACCGGGAGAAACGAAAUCCUGCUGGAAGUGAAUCAUAUCAUGGAUCUUCUUGAAUCCAUGUGCAAAGACGCCGAACCCAAACACGAACCCUAUGAGAAUAACGACGAGGAUAAGGAGGAGACAAUAGCAACAGCACUUGGUGCUUGGACAGCAACACAUCUUCACCUGAAUUCAAGAAAGAAAAACCAACGAUGGGAAAGAACGGUGACGUCUUCUGUAAUUUAAAGAAAGAAAAAGAGAGAGAGGGACGAGUUCAGACAAAUAGAAAAUAAUGAUGACGAUGAUGAUGAAGACAGACAGGCACACCGGUUGUGGUGUCUUAUAAUAACCAUGUUUUUGUUUUCCCGUUGAGACUUCCAAGGGGUAUAUUUGUUAAUAUAUAAUAGUUUGAGGAAUUUUUAUUUCUUAUAAUAUUUAUCGUGUACUUUUUUUACGCCUCAAAUUUACUUUGUUGUUAC
Molecule: long non-coding RNA, 702 nt
Filed under: Zostera marina
Lineage: Eukaryota; Viridiplantae; Streptophyta; Magnoliopsida; Alismatales; Zosteraceae
Description: long non-coding RNA (ZMAR_LNC000270)
Source: RNAcentral